This 253-nucleotide ribosomal RNA is filed under the name uncultured bacterium. RNAcentral's name for it is "partial 16S ribosomal RNA". It matches the Rfam family "Bacterial small subunit ribosomal RNA", at positions 524 to 776 of the family's 1533-position model. The record is from RNAcentral.
UACGAGGGGGGCGAGCGUUGUUCGGAAUUAUUGGGCGUAAAGGGUGCGUAGGCGGUUCCGCAAGUCCUGUGUGAAAUCUUCGGGCUCAACUCGAAGUCUGCACGGGAAACUGCGGGUCUUGAGUGUGGGAGAGGUGAGUGGAAUUCCCGGUGUAGCGGUGAAAUGCGUAGAUAUCGGAAGGAACACCAGUGGCGAAAGCGGCUUCCUGGUCCAGCACCGACAUUCAGGCACGAAAGCGUGGGGAGCAAACAGG